Molecule: long non-coding RNA, 1082 nt
Filed under: Marmota monax (woodchuck)
Lineage: Eukaryota; Metazoa; Chordata; Mammalia; Rodentia; Sciuridae
Source: RNAcentral
UGAACAUUUGAAGGAGGAAGUCCUGGUCAAGGAGGCCAUUUAGGAGAACAGAGGCCACAACACAUGUGAGUCCCUCAGCGAGAGUGAGCAGUCCUGCUGCCCCAGACCUACACCACGGCCUGGACCUGCCCUCAGCCUGGGCAGGUUCUUCCCACUGGAGCGCACUUCCGGCUCACACCCAGGGGACCCUCAGUCUCCUGGGCCACCUAACUGACCUACUGGGCACUCACCCGUGGGAUCUGAGACUGCCAGGAGGCCUGCACUGCUCACACUCCAUCAGGGCCUGGCCCGGCCCCUUGGGGUAAGCGGCCAAACAAUCAUUUUGUCCUGGGGGGCUGCCACUGCCCUGUGGGGCUCCCAGACUUGCCAGCACAGGUAGCGGGAUGGAAGGCAGCACCCUGCUCUGCUCUUGGCUCUCGACCCAGCUCCUGAAAACAGCCAACUGCAGUCCCUUCCUCUGCCUGUGGACAGUUUCACACGUGGUUACAGAACUGCUAAUAGGGAUUAAUAAAGAAAAUGGCCACACACGUGAGACUGGCAGGUUCCAAAGGCACCAAGGAUUCCCCACCAACACUGCCUCUUAAAGGCCCGACUUUCCCCCUCCCUCUCUGCCCCUCACUGACCAGAGAUAAAGACCUCCUGGAACAAGAGGGGACAUUGUGACUGUGAGACCACUGGGGCCCUUGGAUUGCCACCUGCUGGUGUGCAUGCCCAACCCUGCAGUCAGGUGGUGACACUCAGACCCCUGCCCCAGGGCCUCGUAGAGGCUGACAGACCCCACGUGGACGGCUCCUGCUUUGCCACACGUGUUAGUCUGAGGAGCGCUUUUGCCUCUAACAGAAUUCCUGCAGUGACCUCUUGUGGUUCCUGUCAAAGAAACCUCACUGUUGCCACUUCCCCUCAUCUGGUGUAAAAUCGUCUAAGAUCAUCUGAGGACAACAAUGUGAGAGAGAGCAAACUGACCAGGGGUGCCAGGGUGGACAGGGCCCACUGCUGGGGCAGAGCAGGGGAGCCUCCCAGCACUGGUUUGUGAAGAGGGCUCUGUGAGACGAAGGUGGUCUCCACGGCCCCAUCAGUACCAG